Non-coding RNA from Sus scrofa (pig), 2505 nucleotides. The record is from RefSeq and is a predicted model, not a curated record. Lineage: Eukaryota; Metazoa; Chordata; Mammalia; Artiodactyla; Suidae.
UUUGGGCAAUGGAACACCUGUAAAGAGAUUAGACUUUUCUUAAUUUUAAAUUUCCAGUUUUCUUUUUCCACAAUCUGUAGAUGGAAACAAACCAAGACUAACUAACACAUGGAAUUUAGGAACCUAUGAAAUUGUUCUGUGGGAUACUGACUUUUAACAGUCAUUUCAGUAAUAGAUCCUAUACAAUAAGUUCUAAGGUCAACAUGAUAAAUCCAAAAUAACCAACAUAUCUCAAAUGUUUUACAAUAUUUACAUUUACAUGUGUACCUGUAGCUGAAAACCUCAAAAUCUGGUCAUGUCUUCAAGAAUAAAAUAAGAAAUCACUAAGGUAAUUUUGAGUAUUGUCUUCUGGAAGUCAACCCUGUCAUCCAAUGAAGUAUUGUAGUAAAAUUAGAGUAUCCACUAUCCAGUGAUAAUCAUUUUAUUAUGUAUUUUUUCUAAACUUCAUUCUAGGCACAAUUUUGUGUUUUCUCAUUUUAUAUAACUGCAGUCAUAUUUGUAUGAACAAAUUUAUAUAUCUUGCUCCUUUAACAUUUUAACUUAGACAUUUUCUGUGUGGACAUAAACUCCCACUGGCAUUUAUAAUGGUUGCCUAAUUUUCUGUUUAUAGUUAAUAACAGUAUUAGUUGCUUAUUGGCAAACAUUUAGAUUGCUUUAUAGUUGUGAAAAAAAUGCUAUGAGACAGUUUUAUAUAUGAGGACUUUUCCUUCUCUUUCAGUUCAUUUGAAAAAUUGACUAGUAUGAAUAUUAUUUCUUAAAGUUUAUUGGAGGAAAGUUUUUUCUCAACCUCACAUUUUAUAGAUGGGAAGUCCAGUUACCUGCUAUCAGGCCUAAGACCAGCUCUCCUGAUUUUGAGUCUUGGAUUUUUAGUGGGAAAUGAGGAGUCAAAGAAAUGUUCCCCAGAAUGGAUCUACAGUAUAAUUCCAUAUUGGUAGCCAGGUACAUUAGGUAACUGUAAGCCUGCUUUUAAUGAAUAUAUUUCAGGAUUUCUCUCUCUUUAAGAUGUGCAGGAAGUGAUGUCCCCAGGAUGGCAACCUUAUUUAUUCCUGGCUUUGUUUCCUCUUCCCCCAAGAACAACUAACAAUUUAUGGACAAGACACCACUGAGAAAAUCCUAAAACUUAUAAAUGAGGCUGAAGUACCCUCCUGCACUACAGAGAACCAGGACAAACUACAUUAGAAGGAUAUUUCCAGCAGACACCAGAAACCCAAAGUGAGCUGACCAAUGAACCCAAAGCAGAUCUUAAAAGUCUGGAAGAGGAGACCACUUACUCCAGUGCACAGAUACCAGCGUAAGAAUCAAGGAGCAUGAAAAAUCAGGUACACAGGUAAAUAGAAGGGAGGGUCUUGCCGAGAGUUGUUUGCCUGCUCAGAACAUCGCAUCACUGCUGUCGGGAAUGGCUCAGGUGUCUGAGAUGCCUGCCUCACGGCACACAUUCCUGCAUCUGUUGAAUGGUGCCCUUGAUGACUGUGUCCCCACAGUAUAGUCACAGAGGAGCCUGAAUCUCACUCCUUCAUUUGCCUCCUGGUGAGUCAUGCUUGAGACAACCUUCGUAAGACUUAACUCUUUUAUUAUAAAUUGCUUCUCAUUUCUCCCGACAUUACAGUUACAGCAUCAUUUUGACUUUGAAAGCUGUGUGUAAGUAGACUGUGUUUUCUAUGAGUUUCAUUUCAGGCUGGUAGAGAGAACAUUCGGAUCUUCGUUAUUAAAAGGGGACGUUGAAUCUGAAAGGACUGACACCCACUGCUCAAGAACACAACUCUACCCAAUAUAUUCUGUGAUAAUCUGUGUGGGGAAAGAAUCUGAAAGAGAAUGGAUGUGUGUCUAUGUAUAAUGGAAUCUUUUUGUCAUACAGCAGAAAUUAUUACAACCUUGUAAAUCAACUAUACUUCAAUAAAACUUUAAAAAGAGGGGAAAAAGAAUACAUGGAAUAGUCUGAUCUCUGCAGAGGUCACAUAUUUGUUGCCUGUUAACUACAACCAUCCUUGCUGAGGGGGGCUAACUUCUGAUUGCUCUACUUAUGUUGAUCAGUGUAGACAUUCUGGCUCUGGGAGGUAUGCUGUACUCUUGAGUUGAGGGUAGAGAGACAAAGAGGGGUAGGUCAUCACUCCACUUCUAGGAAAUAUGAUGGAGUGGAAAGAGCAGGGACCUGAGAUUCUGGGGACCUGGGUUCAGCUCUACUGAACUCUCUGUGUCCUUAGAUGUGUUGCUUCAGUUCUGUGAGUUUUGGAGUGACCUGUGUUCUUGAGCAGUGGUGGUCAAUCCUUUCAGAUUCCAUGCCCCCUUUUAAUAACAAGGAUCUUAAUAGUCUCUCUACCAUUUAGACCAGAUCCCCUACAGUUUCAAUGUUCUGUGGCUUGAUCUUAGUCAAUAAAGUGUCAAUAAAAUGUCCCACAUAGGAGUACCCUUUGUGGCUCAGUGGUUAAACAAACCCAACUAGGAUCCAUGAGGAGGCAGGUUCAAUCCCUGGCCUGGCUUGCAGGUAAGGAUCCGUCAUUGCCAUGA